RNAcentral lists this long non-coding RNA (2491 nucleotides) under Marmota monax (woodchuck). The record is from RNAcentral. Lineage: Eukaryota; Metazoa; Chordata; Mammalia; Rodentia; Sciuridae.
GCCAGUUUGAGCCCCAGAGCAAGAUUGUCGGCACGCCUCCGAAAGCACCAGACCUUUUCACUUUAGAAAUCCCGAAGUGGAACAAGCAAAAUAAGGUCAGAAAGGAGAAAGGGUCGCAUGUUCUUGGCACUCUAGUCUAGGAACUCAACAAGAAGCAGGAUUAAAACACAUGGCAAUGUAAAAGUUUUUUCAGUGUUUGAGGCCAAGUGGAAGGUCUUGAUUUCACCCUUUCAUAUUUUUCUUUUUAAUUUCCUAACAUAGCAAUGGUCCACUUUAUGCUUUGAAUAUAGAACUUGCUGCUCUGUUACUACAAUUUAUUUUUUAAAUGGACAAGUUUCUUUCUCUCUCUCUCUCUCCCUCCCCCCCUCCCCUUGCUCCUCCCUGAUCUCUCCCCCUCCCUAAUCUCAGGGGAAACAAGAUUACAUUUCUUCCCCAUCCUAGGCGGAAUUAUCUGUCCUUGAGCAGUCACCCACCAUAGGAAUGUAGUAAUCCAGACUUCAGGGAUGGCACCAGAAGAUCUCAGAGAUGACUAUCUCCCAAAUUAACAAGUUAAUUAAAAUUCCAACAGAGAACACAUGGAAUGUAGCCUUUGAAUCACCUCUUUAACCACCCCCCCCUCCACACACACACACACACACACACACACACACACACACGGGUUCCUGCUAAUGGGCAGAACCACAGCCUCUGGGAUAGGAGUCCCCUGUGUUUCUCCUUUGCUAGCAAAGCAAUAAAUCUUUUUCCUUUUUAUCAAAACCAUGUGCUGGUUAUUGGAUUGGCACUGGGGACAAGGACAGAGCUUUAGACCUUCAUGAAUUUAGGUUCUCUUUAGAGAAUUUAUUAAUUGGGCAAAUUUGUCUUAUCCAAUAUGACAUGCAACAAUAAGGUAAUAAUUAGUCAUGGAACUCCUUGCUGCUCCCAAGAAUUCAACCCCUUCCUGCCUGUAACAGCAAUGGUUCCUAAUAUACCUUUGCCUUAAAACUGAAAACCACAGCUUUUAUGUCAUGUAUACAUCAUAGUUCUAAUUACAAAGUUGUUUUAUUUUUAAAUUAUUUUCUAUAUGGAAUAUAUUCUAUUUGCUGAAUAUAAAAUUUUUGACAUUAAUAACAAUUAUUUAUAAUUGUAUACUAAGUUAUUGAUGGGGCCCAAAUAAAUCUUUGCAACUAUAUUAAAUCUCACCACUAAUGUGUUGGAUGUGCUUUUUUUUUUUUUUUUGUGGUGCUGGGGAUUGAACCCAUGGCCUUGUGCAUGUGAGGCAAGCACUCUACCAAAUGAGUUAUAUCCCCCCAGCAGGGAUGUGCUUUUUAUUACUUAGAGUAGAAUAUUAAAAUUAUUUUUCUCUCUUUCUAAAUAAUGUAAUAAAGAAUUAAAGUCAGCUUACUAUAAUAGUACAUGCAUACUGUUAUGGUUAGAUUUUAGGUGUCCCCCAAAAGUUCAUGUGUGAGACAAUGCAAGAAAUUUCAGAGGUGAACUGAUUGGAUUAUAAGAGCUUUAACCAAAUCAGUGCAUUAAUUAAUCCACUUGAAUGAAUAAACCGAGUGCCAACUAUAGGCAGGUUGAGUGUGGCUGGAGGAGGUAGAUCAUUGGGAGUGUGCCUUCAGGUUUAUGUUUUGUCCUUGUUGAGUAAAGCACUGUGCCAGCUCGCUCUCUCUCUCUCUCUUCCUCUCCCUCUCCCUCUCCCUCUCCCUCUCCUUCUCUGCUUCCUAGUGGCAUUUCCCCUGUUACUUUCCUCCAACAGAUUCUUCUGCCAUGAUGUUCUGCCUCCCCUUGAGCCCAGAGGAAUGGAGCCAGCUAUCUAUGAACUGAGACAUCUGAAACCAUGAGCCCACAGUUGACUAAACACAUACCCAUGUAUGUGUGUGUAUACAUAUAUCACAAUUCACAACAGCCAAACUGUGGAAGCCUAGGUGUCCAUCAAUGGAUGAAUGGAUAAACAAAAUAUUCAGCCAUAAAGAAGAAUAAAUUGCCGCAGUCUGGCUGGGCACAAAAUCAUGAGCCACUACACAGCUUGUAGAUUCAAACAGCAACUCUUUAUUCCCGAACUCACACCAGCCGUCUACAAUCACGUUCUGGAGAAAUCCACGUUCUCUGCCCAAAUCCACACCCACUGGGCUUCUGUCUCCCAAAAAAUACUGUCUGAAUCCCGUGAGAACUCAAGGGGAACUCCAGCAGCAGGAUACGCCCUAUUCCCAGCAGGAAUAACCUUAAACCUGGAACCACCCUAAACCCGGAUUGUCCUAAACCGGGAACGCCCUAAACCCAGAUCCGCCCUGGUCCUUGAGCAAGGUCACCUACAUGCAAUGUCACUGCAAAAUGUCCUAUUUCCACGAGUCCUUCCACUAAGCAACAUGGGGUACGCUGGCAAGGAAAUUGUCAUACCUACUUGGCUAAUGACUCCCAGCAAUAAAUUAUGUCAUUUUCAAGAAAAUGGAUGAGGGCUCGGGAUGUGGCUCAAGUGGUAGCGCACUUGCCUGGCAUGCGUGAGGCACUG